GACGAACGCUGGCGGCGUGCUUAACACAUGCAAGUCGAACGGAAAGGCCCUGCUUUUGUGGGGUGCUCGAGUGGCGAACGGGUGAGUAACACGUGAGUAACCUGCCCUUGACUUUGGGAUAACUUCAGGAAACUGGGGCUAAUACCGGAUAGGAGCUCCUGCUGCAUGGUGGGGGUUGGAAAGUUUCGGCGGUUGGGGAUGGACUCACGGCUUAUCAGCUUGUUGGUGGGGUGGUGGCUUACCAAGGCUUUGACGGGUAGCCGGCCUGAGAGGGUGACCGGCCACAUUGGGACUGAGAUACGGCCCAGACUCCUACGGGAGGCAGCAGUGGGGAAUAUUGCACAAUGGGCGGAAGCCUGAUGCAGCAACGCCGCGUGCGGGAUGACGGCCUUCGGGUUGUAAACCGCUUUCGCCUGUGACGAAGCGUGAGUGACGGUAAUGGGUAAAGAAGCACCGGCUAACUACGUG
Molecule: ribosomal RNA, 468 nt
Filed under: uncultured bacterium
Lineage: Bacteria
Description: partial 16S ribosomal RNA
Rfam family: Bacterial small subunit ribosomal RNA
Source: RNAcentral